CCUACGGGCGACAGCAGUGAGGAAUAUUGGUCAAUGGGCUUACGCCUGAACCAGCCAAGUCGCGUGAGGGAAGACUGCCCUAUGGGUUGUAAACCUCUUUUGUCAGGGAGCAACGCCGGCUACGUGUAGCCGGACUGAGAGUACCUGAAGAAAAAGCAUCGGCUAACUCCGUGCCAGCAGCCGCGGUAAUACGGAGGAUGCGAGCGUUAUCCGGAUUUAUUGGGUUUAAAGGGUGCGUAGGCGGAAUGCCAAGUCAGCGGUAAAAUCGCGGGGCUCAACCUCGCUCCGCCGUUGAAACUGGCGGUCUUGAGGGGGCGAGAAGUAUGCGGAAUGCGUGGUGUAGCGGUGAAAUGCAUAGAUAUCACGCAGAACUCCGAUUGCGAAGGCAGCAUACCGGCGCCCAACUGACGCUGAAGCACGAAAGCGUGGGUAUCGAACAGGAUUAGAUACCCGAGUAGUC
This 460-nucleotide ribosomal RNA is filed under the name uncultured bacterium. Its description in RNAcentral is "partial 16S ribosomal RNA". It matches the Rfam family "Bacterial small subunit ribosomal RNA", at positions 338 to 795 of the family's 1533-position model. The record is from RNAcentral.